UAAAAGAGCAAGAGACCGGUGUCAUCAGAAAAAAAGAGUGGACAUUGGACUGCCUUUGAAAGAUGGAAAGACCUGAUGAAGAAAAGGGGGAUCGAAAGAGACGCCGACUUUGCUUGCAUCCUUCGAGACAGCUAUGAGAGAGAACUGAGAGCAGUGACAUCAACUCCAAUGAAGGGAAAACCCUCUCAAGUACUAACUGCUCCAGCAGUGUCCAUUCUAGCGGGACAGACAGAGAUGAGCAUCUUGGUGCAAUUGCAGAAGCCCCUGAAAUUGAGAGCCUUGACCAGAGCUUAUAUGACAUGAGCAUCGUGGAGGAGGAUGUGGAUGAAAAUGUGUUCAAUGACCUGAUGAACAGUGUAAUUGACUGGACAGAUGAAGGAUCUGCAUUCCAGCAAAGAGAUGAUGGAGAGAAGGAUGACAUCUCCGACGAAGAGUAUCUUCCACCAAUUUCUAUACGAAUGGGUGGAGCAUUAAAGACAGUGCAGUCUGUUGACCAUGUUGAUGUAAUUGGGCUUGAUGAAACUGUGCAUGACCUUUCUGCUCAUGAAGACCCUACUGACGAGCCCUUGCCCAGUUUUGAGUUGCCCAAUUCACCAGACCCUUUGAAGGUCCAAUGUGUAGAUGACAUCAUCAGUAUUUGAGCGGCAGUGUUGUAUGAGACCUGCUUGAGGCAGCUUCUCACACUAAUGAAGCUGCUGGUGGACAGAUGUACAGGUGUUCUCAGGACCGGUCUGGUGUGUGACAGUGUUGCCCCCUUUCACAUAAACAUCACUUCUAAGGGCACAGCAAUGAGUGCAGAAUGGAUGGAAGUCUUGGUAGUAACAACAUAAUACAACUGUUAGCAAUACCAUGCAAAUGUAUUGUGACAGCCAGUGUUGCAUAUUUCAAAUCCAUUUAUCAAUCUUCUCUGAUUUUUAGAUUUGUCCCAAUGGACAUAGCCUGUGGAAAUGGAAUUCCCAGCCUGUGAUGAAGUUUGGGAUGCAAGCAGGGGAUUUCCUUCUUUCCACCAACAUUUUGUUGUCAGGGAAUAACUAUGGGAAGGUUUCCCUCUUGUUUAAAUUCAUGAACAUGGGCAUGGUGAACCCAAACACAUUUUGCACAAUCCAGGACACAUACUGUGUUGACGCAGUAAAGGAAUACUGCAAGAAAGGAAUUCCGAGGCCAUCUGUCGCCUUCAAGGGAAAGACGUUGUGGUGAUAGGGGAUGGCAGAAAUGAUUCACCAGGGCAUUGUGCCCAGUACUGCAGCUACACCACGAUGGAGCUUGACACCAAGGAGAUCAUUCACGUAGCCACAAUAGACAAGCGGCAGACAUCGUGGAACUCCAACAUCAUGGAGAAGGAGGGAUUUAUCCAGACUGUGGACAAGCUUUCCAGAGAGUUAAAGCUGGUGGAGAUCUGCACAGAUGCUCAUAUCCAGAUUGGAGCCCUUAUGAACCCAGACAAAGGCAGAUACAAGGACCUUGGAAUUCAUCACAGUCUGGACAUGUGGCACGG
This is a long non-coding RNA of Perca fluviatilis (European perch), 1495 nucleotides long. RefSeq lists it as uncharacterized. The record is from RefSeq and is a predicted model, not a curated record. Lineage: Eukaryota; Metazoa; Chordata; Actinopteri; Perciformes; Percidae. The transcript has 8 exons.